AGCGAACGCUGGCGGCGUGCUUAACACAUGCAAGUCGAGCGAGAAAGGGGGCUUCGGCCCUGAGUACAGCGGCGAACGGGUGCGUAAUACAUGAGUAAUCUACCCUUGAGGCGGGAAUAACCCAGCGAAAGUUGGGCUAAUACCGGAUAAGACCACAAGAGGAGACCCUAGAGGUUAAAGGCAGCUUUCUUUUGGGAGCGGCCCUUCGAGGAGGAGCUCAUGUCCUAUCAGCUAGNGGUAGGGUAACGGCCUACCAAGGCGAAGACGGGUAGCUGGUCUUAGAGGAUGAUCAGCCACACGGGGACUGAGACACGGCCCCGACUCCUACGGGAGGCAGCAGGUGGGGAAUAUUGGGCAAUGGGCGAAAGCCUGACCCAGCGACGCCGCGUGGGUGAUGAAGGCC
This 403-nucleotide ribosomal RNA is filed under the name uncultured bacterium. Its description in RNAcentral is "bacterial SSU rRNA". It matches the Rfam family "Bacterial small subunit ribosomal RNA", at positions 29 to 416 of the family's 1533-position model. The record is from RNAcentral.